UAGGAGCUACCAGAACUGGUAUGGAACUCACAUUCGCUGCCAGCAUUGCAAUUCUGCAAUCUUCCCUAGUAUUACGGAAGAGGACGUCAAACUUUCGUUUUUCGUCCCACGGGCUCGACAUGCUGCGGAAGAUCCGGACCAUGUCCAAGUAAAAGUCCUGGAACUUCUCUCUGGGACCCUGCUUCCGAUUGUUAGCCUGCCGUUCAUAGACGUAAUCUAUAUCGACUGGCGACUACGCAGAUUUCGUUCUGCAACGCUACGUGUG
This is a long non-coding RNA of Armigeres subalbatus, 265 nucleotides long. RefSeq lists it as uncharacterized. The transcript has 3 exons. The record is from RefSeq and is a predicted model, not a curated record. Lineage: Eukaryota; Metazoa; Arthropoda; Insecta; Diptera; Culicidae.